Molecule: long non-coding RNA, 1472 nt
Filed under: Piliocolobus tephrosceles (Ugandan red Colobus)
Lineage: Eukaryota; Metazoa; Chordata; Mammalia; Primates; Cercopithecidae
Description: lncRNA (ENSPTEG00000005340.1)
Source: RNAcentral
GCCUCAGACCUCGUAGGACUGUCUUCACACAGACUGGAAGUGCUAACAGGUGGUGAGGACACCGCUUUACAAUGAUGCAGGAGGCCCCAUGUCACCCUCACCCAUGGGAAGUUUGACUUGGUGGACUCAACCAAGCCACAGGGGUCUAGCGCUUCUUUGCGGUGAUUCCAGGCGGCCCUGGCAGACAGCACAGUACCUGCAGACAUGCUGUCACUGCUCCACGCGUCAACACUGGCAGUCCUUGGGGCUCGUCUAAAGGCCACCCUGGCAAACCAAGAACACAGAAUUUUAUUACAGCUGCUGGAUAUGAAGACUCAGCAUAUGAUAUCGGUGACGUUAACACCCUCCCAGGGAGAAGCGCUGUUUCUUCUGGCUGGGAAGUGCGAGCCGGUGGGGAGAGUGAGAAGGGUAGAGCAUUACAUGGAGGAACUUCCUGGUUUCCUUGCCUCUGAGGGCCUUAUGCCAGAGGGGAUAGAAAGCCCAUUAGAAACCCAGGAUAGGCAUAAGGAGAAUCUGAGUGUCUGGCUCCUGUCAAGCUUCCCUAAUAUGGCCCUGGUAGAACUCCACCAAAAGUGGAAGGCAUUUGCAAAGGUGAGCCCAAAGCAGUACCACUUUCCACACAGGCUGUGCAUGUAGGAGUCCCAGAUGCUUCUCAGGGUCUCUGAGAGGAUACAAAGGUACUGAGGGGGCCGGUGAGCACAGCACCUGGGAUUUGGAUGAGAAGCUGCAGGAAAGGAACUUUACAUCCCAAGGACAUGGUGUGGAGUCAAUAGUGGUAAGUUCAGUCUGGUUAUUACACCAGCCAGUUCAGAGGAAGAGUGAAAUCCCUUAGAUCAGCAGGGCAAAGUGCUGGAAGUUGUUGAGGAUGCAGAGGGUAGCAGGAAGACAACUCUAAGAACUCAUUCACACACCCUGCCCCUGGGUAGCGAGGUCAUCCUGGGGAUGAGAAGGAGGAAGAGAGAGAAACACAGAAAAGCCUAAGCAGGCACCACAAAGAGACCGAGCCCAUCUGAAAAAGGCUGCUCUAACCUGAUGGAAACUAUUUUAAGUUGGUAAGUUUAGUGCCUCCCCGCAAUAUCAGAACGAGCAAGAGAUGACAGGUAUAGGUUGUGUACAUUUCCCCUCUGCAUUGAAUGAUACAGUGCGCCUGUUCCACCGCUGUGCCCUGCUCAAAGUUAGUGGGGUGGCUGUGGCCUGCUCAAAGUCACUUGGGUAAGGGGCGCCAGUGGGAACCAAAAUCCCAUCUCACACCCACCCCCUGCACACUCUGGAGCUGGGCUGUGACAUGCUGGAGAAAGGUGUCUUUGUCUAAUUAUUCUGCCUAAGGGCAUGCCUUUUGUUAAUUAGUAAAAAGAAGCCUUAUUUGUGCUCUGGGGAGUGGGGGGUCUGUUUAGGAGGUAAUUCGUGAUAAAGCCACACAGAUAAGAUACAAGGCUUUCAAUAAAUUGAAUCUAUGAAGCUUCCUAACCCCA